This 468-nucleotide ribosomal RNA is filed under the name uncultured bacterium. RNAcentral's name for it is "partial 16S ribosomal RNA". It matches the Rfam family "Bacterial small subunit ribosomal RNA", at positions 28 to 507 of the family's 1533-position model. The record is from RNAcentral.
GACGAACGCUGGCGGCGUGCUUAACACAUGCAAGUCGAACGGAAAGGCCCUGCUUUUGUGGGGUGCUCGAGUGGCGAACGGGUGAGUAACACGUGAGUAACCUGCCCUUGACUUUGGGAUAACUUCAGGAAACUGGGGCUAAUACCGGAUAGUAGCUCCUGCUGCAUGGUGGGGGUUGGAAAGUUUCGGCGGUUGGGGAUGGACUCGCGGCUUAUCAGCUUGUUGGUGGGGUAGUGGCUUACCACGGCUUUGACGGGUAGCCGGCCUGAGAGGGUGACCGGCCACAUUGGGACUGAGAUACGGCCCAGACUCCUACGGGAGGCAGCAGUGGGGAAUAUUGCACAAUGGGCGGAAGCCUGAUGCAGCAACGCCGCGUGCGGGAUGACGGCCUUCGGGUUGUAAACCGCUUUCGCCUGUGACGAAGCGUGAGUGACGGUAAUGGGUAAAGAAGCACCGGCUAACUACGUG